UCGCCUACGGGAGGCAGCAGUGAGGAAUAUUGGUCAAUGGGCGGGAGCCUGAACCAGCCAAGUCGCGUGAGGGAAGACGGUCCUAUGGAUUGUAAACCUCUUUUGUCGGGGAGCAAAGAGAUCACGUGUGGUCAAAAGCGAGAGUACCCGAAGAAAAAGCAUCGGCUAACUCCGUGCCAGCAGCCGCGGUAAUACGGAGGAUGCGAGCGUUAUCCGGAUUUAUUGGGUUUAAAGGGUGCGUAGGCGGGACGGUCAGUCAGCGGUAAAAAUGCGGGUCUCAACUCCGCCGAGCCG
RNAcentral lists this ribosomal RNA (294 nucleotides) under uncultured bacterium. Its description in RNAcentral is "partial 16S ribosomal RNA". It matches the Rfam family "Bacterial small subunit ribosomal RNA", at positions 335 to 626 of the family's 1533-position model. The record is from RNAcentral.